GGCGACGUAGCUCAGCUGGUUAGAGCGGCAGAAUCAUAAUCUGUAGGUCCGGGGUUCGAGUCCCUGCGUCGCCACCA
RNAcentral lists this transfer RNA (77 nucleotides) under Candidatus Babelota bacterium. RNAcentral describes it as "tRNA-Met". It matches the Rfam family "tRNA". From Rfam's summary of the family: Transfer RNA (tRNA) molecules are approximately 80 nucleotides in length. Their secondary structure includes four short double-helical elements and three loops (D, anti-codon, and T loops). Further hydrogen bonds mediate the characteristic L-shaped molecular structure. tRNAs have two regions of fundamental functional importance: the anti-codon, which is responsible for specific mRNA codon recognition, and the 3' end, to which the tRNAs corresponding amino acid is attached (by aminoacyl-tRNA synthetases). tRNAs cope with the degeneracy of the genetic code in two manners: having more than one tRNA (with a specific anti-codon) for a particular amino acid; and 'wobble' base-pairing, i.e. permitting non-standard base-pairing at the 3rd anti-codon position. The record is from RNAcentral. RNAcentral also lists the same sequence under 2 other names.